This 364-nucleotide ribosomal RNA is filed under the name uncultured bacterium. RNAcentral describes it as "partial 16S ribosomal RNA". It matches the Rfam family "Bacterial small subunit ribosomal RNA", at positions 338 to 699 of the family's 1533-position model. The record is from RNAcentral.
CCUACGGGUGGCAGCAGUGAGGAAUAUUGGUCAAUGGACGCAAGUCUGAACCAGCAAUGCCGCGUGCAGGAAGACGGCUCUCUGAGUUGUAACCUGCUUUUGUACGGGGGUAAACGCAGAUAUGCGUAUCUGUCUGAAUGUAUCGUACGAAUAAGGCUCGGCUAACUCCGUGCCAGCAGCCGCGGUAAUACGGAGGAUCCAAGCGUUAUCCGGAUUUAUUGGGUUUAAAGGGUGCGUAGGCGGUCGGAUAAGUUAGAGGUGAAAUCCUGAGGCUCAACUUCGGAAUUGCCUCUGAUCCUGUUCGGCUAGAGAGUAGUUGCGGUAGGCGGAAUGUAUGGUGUAGCGGUGAAAUGCUUAGAGAUCA